This 263-nucleotide unclassified non-coding RNA is filed under the name Hevea brasiliensis (rubber tree). Lineage: Eukaryota; Viridiplantae; Streptophyta; Magnoliopsida; Malpighiales; Euphorbiaceae. The record is from RNAcentral.
CGCUCUUUGUCUUCGCCUCAUCGCCAUUCAAAUACAAAUUCGCCUGAAAAUUAUUUUCUCUAGACACACGCCCCUCCUUUUCUCUUUCUUAAUCUCCUUAUUACCACCACUAGUUCAUUUCCUUCUCCAGAUUCUUCCCCUUCACUAUCUCCCAUCCCUCUCACUUUGCCCUUCAAUUCUGUUUUUUUCCAGGUAAAAAUACGAGCUUUGUCUCUGUUAGUUCUUGCAUUUCCAAAGCAUUCCUUUCUGUUUCCAGCGUUUUU